RNAcentral lists this ribosomal RNA (239 nucleotides) under uncultured bacterium. RNAcentral's name for it is "partial 16S ribosomal RNA". It matches the Rfam family "Bacterial small subunit ribosomal RNA", at positions 14 to 240 of the family's 1533-position model. The record is from RNAcentral.
GUAUCAUGGCUCAGGAUGAACGCUAGCGGCAGGCUUAACACAUGCAAGUCGAGGGGCAGCAUAAUGGUAUAGCAAUAUCUAUGGUGGCGACCGGCGCACGGGUGCGUAACGCGUAUGCAACCGUACCUUUAACAGGGGGAUAACACUGAGAAAUUGGUACUAAUACCCCAUAAUAUCAUAGAAGGCAUCUUUUAUGGUUUGAAAAAGUUCCGAAUGGUUAGAGAUGGGCAUGCGUUGUA